Long non-coding RNA from Pangasianodon hypophthalmus (striped catfish), 853 nucleotides. RefSeq lists it as uncharacterized. The transcript has 3 exons. Lineage: Eukaryota; Metazoa; Chordata; Actinopteri; Siluriformes; Pangasiidae. The record is from RefSeq and is a predicted model, not a curated record.
AAUUAACAUAUUUAUGAUACUGUGGAUCAGGCAGAUACGAGUGGAACAGGUAGCUUUAUUUCCUCUUGCAUUAGGAGACUUAACUACAGAUUAACUCUAUACAGUAAAGUACAGAAGUGUCUUGUAGUGAUUAACACACUGCACUGUGUUCAGGUGAAGCUGCAGCUGAGUGUGAAGCCACUUAUGCACAUGUCACGAAGAAAAAGAAGACAAACAGGAACAAUGGUGCUGAUGCUGAAGCUGGUGUUAGUGAUGCGAUUUAUGCUAAUCUUGAACUAAAACCAAUGAAAAAAUGAAAAGAGAAUAAAAGUGAGCCGUGUGUCUGUGUCCACUGAUGAAGCUACAGUUAUCAAACAGAUCACUGGAAAACUGUGAUUUGUGUUUGUCUUCAGUUUUUCCUAAAACGCUCAGAGUAGUAAAGUCUGCUCAUCCCCUUCCUGUACCCAAGAAACAUUACUUCAUCACCUGAAAUGACUUUAAGUUUGUGGCUUAAACAGUGUUUUAUGCAUGCACGAGGUGCAAUACCAAGAGGAGGCUUACGUUAGAGAACUCGUUUUGUACUUCAGUAGUGUUUAGAUAAAAUAUGAAUAAAGAUGUACAACUCUGAAUGAAAUGUAGGUUAUCCUUGCGAUAUAUACAAAUAAUACUUUCCUUAAAACAUAUAUAUUUUAUAUCUUUUCAUUCUGUUUGUUGUUAAUUUUAGACAGGUUAAGCAGUGAUGUUGAUGGUAGUCAAAAAUCAGCAGCUUUCCACAGGUAGUCUACAUUUAAAACCAGGUUAUUGGUAAAUAUGUUUGUGUGGAAUUACAUUGUACAAUUGGGUGUUUUAUAAAUGAACAGUGUCAUAAACAGAG